RNAcentral lists this ribosomal RNA (254 nucleotides) under uncultured bacterium. RNAcentral describes it as "partial 16S ribosomal RNA". It matches the Rfam family "Bacterial small subunit ribosomal RNA", at positions 524 to 776 of the family's 1533-position model. The record is from RNAcentral.
GACAGAGGAGCCAAGCGUUGUCCGGAUUGACUGGGCGUAAAGCGCGCGCAGGCGGCCUUUUAAGUCUGACGGUGAAAUGCCGGGGCUCAACCCCGUGCCCGCCGCGGAUACUGGGAGGCUGGAGACGAGUAGAGGCAAGCGGAAUUCCGGGUGUAGCGGUGGAAUGCGUAGAGAUCCGGAAGAACACCGGAGGCGAAGGCGGCUUGCUGGGCUCGGUCUGACGCUGAGGCGCGAAAGCGUGGGGAGCGAACAGG